GAAAAUAUAAACAGCAGUUAGCAUGAUGCCUGGCACAUGGUGUGCAUUCAGGAUAUAACUGGGGCCUUUGGGAACCAGGCAAUAUUCCAGACACACAUGACAUCAGUAACAUCCAUAUGUCUGUGAUGGGGUAGGAGAGAAGACUACUUUUCAGGUGGGACAUUUUGAUUGGAGAGGGUCUCUGAUUCAGAGAGUGAGGUGAGCUAUUUUCUUCUUGGGAGUUCUUGGCAUUUGAUAAUCCUUGGUGUUUAUUUCAAAAUAUGGAAGAAUUUGAGAUUUACUUAGACAUCUUGGCAUGCAGUGCUAAACCUCAGACUUCCUGAAUUUAUUUACCAGCUAGGGGAAGCAUAUUCCCAACUUUAAUUGUAUUUACAAAGGGCUCUAAUCUGGUGUGAAGUCUGAAGGCAUAUUUGUUGUAGGAGUUACUCAAUUAGCCAGUGAGAAAAGAACAAAGGAAAAGUCAUUAUGCAGAUGUAUGCCCAUUCAAAUCUAUUCCGCCUCUAGAUGCUUUCUUCGUAGUGAAGGGAAGAACUCCAGUCUGCAAGUCUCUCGUCUCUGCUGUGUUUUCUGCUAAUUCUCUUCUAAUAUUAGGCCAUGAAUGAUUAAUAAUAUUGCAUUUUGACACUGUUAGAUUUUGUCAAUUUUUUUCAAUAUAAAAGCAGAUAAUUACAGAUUACUUUAACAUCCAGGAAGUGAAAUCAACCAUGAAUUACACUCAGACUCAUCCACGACCCCUUGAAUAUCUGUCUUUUUUUUUUCAAUAGGAGAUUGAAGUUUCUUUAGUCAAUUACACAAGUCAUGUCUGACAAUUGAGAAAAUGCUGUUCACAUAAAACAUCAUAAAUUAAAAAUAUACAGUGUUUAUAUUUUAAUACAGUAGGGUCCCAGGAUUCAAACAAAGAAUUUUGAUCUCAGAGGUUGCAUUAUGUAGUUAUGUGUUCUGCUUUAAAGAACUAUACUGGAGGUAAACUUGAAACUGCCUUUGCAGAAAUUAUAACUGAGGAAAUUAUGACAGUGAAAGAGAUCAGACCUAACCAACUACACCUUUUAUCUAAUCUUAAAGCUAUCCUUAUUCAUUCCUGGGCAUAGGCCGAAAUAACCUUGGGAAGGAAUUUAGUUUACAGUUUGACUCUGAAACAAAAUUGAUAAUAGCCGUUUCCUGAAAAGACCUCCUUCUUGCCUGGUGACCAGUCUGCCUUUGUAGGACUAACAAAUUGGCUACAAGAUUGGAAAUUAUGGUUUAGGGGUCAUGCAGCCCCUGACUCCAAGAGUCUGAACCUCCCCAGAUUGCUCCUAGGGAUAGCGUCAUUAUUGUAAAACUUAAGAUCAGUGCUUGAGAUAUUUUGCAAACCCUGCACUCAGUGGAUCAGCUGACACCACCCAGACUGGUAACUUGGCUCCCAGUUCUGCCAUCCCACCCAGGAACAGAAGACCACAAAAAAACCUCACUUCGACCCCCUAUGAUACCAUCUCCAACCUGACCAAUCAGCACCACUUCCUGAGCCGCUACCCACCAAAUUAUCUCUAAAAACUCUGAUCCCCAAAUGCUCCAGGAAGGCUGAUUUGAAUAAUAAUAAAACUCAGGUCUCCCGCACACGUGGCUCCGUGUGAAUUACUGUUUUUCCACUGCAGUUCCCCCAUCUUGCUAAAUUGGCUCUGUCUAGGCAGGGGGCCAGGUGAACCCAUUGGAU
Molecule: long non-coding RNA, 1690 nt
Filed under: Homo sapiens (human)
Lineage: Eukaryota; Metazoa; Chordata; Mammalia; Primates; Hominidae
Description: HSALNT0228204
Source: RNAcentral